This 440-nucleotide ribosomal RNA is filed under the name uncultured bacterium. RNAcentral's name for it is "partial 16S ribosomal RNA". It matches the Rfam family "Bacterial small subunit ribosomal RNA", at positions 338 to 795 of the family's 1533-position model. The record is from RNAcentral.
CCUACGGGAGGCAGCAGUGGGGAAUAUUGCACAAUGGGGGAAACCCUGAUGCAGCGACGCCGCGUGAGUGAAGAAGUAUUUCGGUACGUAAAGCUCUAUCAGCAGGGAAGAAAAUUACGGUACCUGACUAAGAAGCCCCGGCUAACUACGUGCCAGCAGCCGCGGUAAUACGUAGGGGGCAAGCGUUAUCCGGAUUUACUGGGUGUAAAGGGAGCGUAGACGGCAGCGCAAGUCUGGAGUGAAAUCCCAUGGCUUAACCAUGGAACUGCUUUGGAAACUGUGCAGCUAGAGUGCAGGAGAGGUAAGCGGAAUUCCUAGUGUAGCGGUGAAAUGCGUAGAUAUUAGGAGGAACACCAGUGGCGAAGGCGGCUUACUGGACUGUAACUGACGUUGAGGCUCGAAAGCGUGGGGAGCAAACAGGAUUAGAUACCCCAGUAGUC